RNAcentral lists this ribosomal RNA (854 nucleotides) under Cantharellus sp. SCS-2014. RNAcentral's name for it is "eukaryotic LSU rRNA". It matches the Rfam family "Eukaryotic large subunit ribosomal RNA", at positions 89 to 952 of the family's 3401-position model. The record is from RNAcentral. Lineage: Eukaryota; Fungi; Basidiomycota; Agaricomycetes; Cantharellales; Hydnaceae.
GCGAGUGAAGAGGGAAGAGCUCAUCAUUGGAAUCUGGCAGCGUUGCGCUGUCCGAGUUGUAGAUGAGAAGAGUAGGUCAUCUGGACUGCGUGGUGUCCAAGUACAAUAGGCCGUCAGUGGGACAUCAUAGAGGGUGACAAUCCCGUCCUUGACAACCAACGUACGAGUCCAUUACGAUGCCUAUCUCAGAGAGUCGAGCAGUUUGGGAUUUGCUGCUUAAACAUGGGAGGUAGAUUCCUUCUAAAGCUAAAUACAGGCAAGAGACCGAUAGAGAACAAGUACCGCAAGGGAAAGAUGAAAUAGAACUCUGUGAAGGGAGUCAAAAAGACGUGAAAUUGUUGCGAGAGAAGCGAUUCAAGUCAGCGUAGCUAGGCCCAUCAAGCUUCUUGCUUUGGACUAGCUUUGCCAGCGGUCUUGUCCUUUUAGAGACUUGACUUUUGACGUGCCCUGUCCGGUCUAACGGGCAGGCCCUUCGGGGCCAGUGGCAUGGCUGGUGGAAUGGCUUGCAAUCGACCCGUCUUGAAACACGGACCAAGGAGUCUAACAUGUGUGCGAGUAUAAGGGUGGCAAACCCGUAUGCGCAAAGAAAGUGAUAGCCUUUUAUGGCUGAGAAUGGCCUGAUGACCAGACAAGCAAUAUUAUGUUCCUCGUACGGUCAUUGCCCAAGUCCCGUGGUCAGAUCCCAUGGACAUGGAGUUAGAGCAUACAUGCUAGGACCCGAAAGAUGGUGAACUAUGCCUGGACAAAGCGAAGCCAAAGGAAACUCUGGUGGAGGCUUGUAGCGAUUCUGACGUGCAAAUCGAUCGUCUGAUCUGGGUAUAGGGGCGAAAGACUAAUCGAACCAUCUCAUAGCU